RNAcentral lists this RNase P RNA (296 nucleotides) under Chlorobiota bacterium. RNAcentral describes it as "RNase P RNA component class A". It matches the Rfam family "Bacterial RNase P class A". From Rfam's summary of the family: Ribonuclease P (RNase P) is a ubiquitous endoribonuclease, found in archaea, bacteria and eukarya as well as chloroplasts and mitochondria. Its best characterised activity is the generation of mature 5'-ends of tRNAs by cleaving the 5'-leader elements of precursor-tRNAs. Lineage: Bacteria; Pseudomonadati; Chlorobiota. The record is from RNAcentral.
GAAGCAAGCCGCCUUGUCGCUCUUCCCUCCGGGGAAGGGAGGAAAGUCCGGACACCGCAGGGCAACCCGGCGGGUAACACCCGUCCGCCGCGAGGCGAGGACUAGUGGCACAGAAACCAGGUACGGUUCGGCCGUAGUGAAAAGGCUAAACUCCGGGUGGUGCAAUGCCAAGUAUGCCGGCGUUUGAGAUUGGCCCGAUCGAUGCCGGCGGGUAGGCAGCAAGAGGCAAACGGUAACGUUUGUCCCAGAUAAAUGACAAGGCUCGACAGAAUCCGGCUUACAGGCUUGCUUCCGUU